GGAAAUGUGGCUUAGUGGUAGAGUGCUUGCCUAGCAUGCAUAAAACCCUGGGUUCAAUUCCUCAGUACCA
Molecule: transfer RNA, 70 nt
Filed under: Dipodomys ordii (Ord's kangaroo rat)
Lineage: Eukaryota; Metazoa; Chordata; Mammalia; Rodentia; Heteromyidae
Rfam family: tRNA
About the family: Transfer RNA (tRNA) molecules are approximately 80 nucleotides in length. Their secondary structure includes four short double-helical elements and three loops (D, anti-codon, and T loops). Further hydrogen bonds mediate the characteristic L-shaped molecular structure. tRNAs have two regions of fundamental functional importance: the anti-codon, which is responsible for specific mRNA codon recognition, and the 3' end, to which the tRNAs corresponding amino acid is attached (by aminoacyl-tRNA synthetases). tRNAs cope with the degeneracy of the genetic code in two manners: having more than one tRNA (with a specific anti-codon) for a particular amino acid; and 'wobble' base-pairing, i.e. permitting non-standard base-pairing at the 3rd anti-codon position.
Source: Rfam by way of RNAcentral